RNAcentral lists this ribosomal RNA (249 nucleotides) under uncultured bacterium. Its description in RNAcentral is "partial 16S ribosomal RNA". It matches the Rfam family "Bacterial small subunit ribosomal RNA", at positions 84 to 334 of the family's 1533-position model. The record is from RNAcentral.
ACUGAUGGCGACCGGCACACGGGUGAGUAACACGUAUCCAACCUGCCUCAUACUCGGGGAUAGCCUUUCGAAAGAAAGAUUAAUAUCCGAUAGCAUAUAUUUCCCGCAUGGGUUUUAUAUUAAAGAAAUUCGGUAUGAGAUGGGGAUGCGUUCCAUUAGUUUGUUGGGGGGGUAACGGCCCACCAAGACUACGAUGGAUAGGGGUUCUGAGAGGAAGGUCCCCCACAUUGGAACUGAGACACGGUCCAA